Long non-coding RNA from Manis pentadactyla (Chinese pangolin), 299 nucleotides. RefSeq lists it as uncharacterized. The record is from RefSeq and is a predicted model, not a curated record. Lineage: Eukaryota; Metazoa; Chordata; Mammalia; Pholidota; Manidae. The transcript has 3 exons.
AGCAGUUUCACCUGUGACGUUGGUGAUGACUCAGCAACCCACCAUUUCAAGCAUCCCUGUCAAAUUCAGUUUUCUGGAAGGACAUCAUUCAUUAGCUGUGCAGGCUGGGCUUAUAGGAUGCUGAGGGCACAGAGCUGAAUACGGAACCUGAGGCAGAAUGCCACACAGCUGAAAUGAUCACCUGUCUGCCUCAAAGACUGAUGCUGAUGACCACUGUAGAACUGAUCUAUGGUGAUCUGCAUGGACCCCUAAGAUAGCUGAGAUUGCUGGCCCAGCUGGGACAUGGUUCUGGUCAUUUA